Long non-coding RNA from Camelus dromedarius (Arabian camel), 1925 nucleotides. RefSeq lists it as uncharacterized. The transcript has 7 exons. The record is from RefSeq and is a predicted model, not a curated record. NCBI's taxonomy places the organism in Eukaryota, Metazoa, Chordata, Mammalia, Artiodactyla, Camelidae.
ACCUCCAUUAGAGACUGGGCACUUCUGCAAACUGAUGUCCUGGGUCAGGACCAGAGUCAGAAGACCAGAUCCUAUCGGUGUUGGCUCUGCAUGCUCAAGGCACUUUACUUUGAACAUGAGCUUCGUGGGGUCAGGAACUUUGUCUCCUUGACUGUCAUACCCCUGGAAUACUGCCUGGCAUAUAAAAGCUUGCAGCACAAGGAAAGUUAGAAAUAAUUUUUCUCUGGUGGAAUGAGUGAAGAUCAAGAUGUGAGGCAUGCCUGGCCUCAGUGGGCCGGAACCCAGGGAGCGCCAUGUCUCGGGAGGAGUACCCUAAUUUCAGCGCUGGGAUCGCUCAUCACUGAAUCCUCAACGCUGGGCACACUGAAUCUGCAGGUGGAGACCGGAGGCUGCUCACGCCUACACCCGAUGAUGCAGUCUCACCGCUGUGGCUGGACUCUGCUGGUCUGGAAGUUUCCCUACCCAGUGGAGAGAUAGUUCCAUGGAGGCACAGGGUAAAAUCCUACAGAACUAGAACUAGGAGUAGGACUGUGAUAAAUGCUGAGCCUACAGGGUCUUGGCAAAGGAGCCCUAUGCCGAUUAUCCAGGGGAGGCACUGCUGUCAAACAGAGGGCAGGGGGCUGUCAAGGCCAGCAGAAAACAGACUACACCAGGUAAGCAGGUGCAUCAGCGACCCGUCCCCCACCUCUUUCUUGUUCAUCUUGAUUGAAGGAAGGUAAUCUGUCAUGACCCAGCUAAAGAAUUGCAUUUGGUUUAGCUCAGUGAUAACGUUCCUCUCUCCUUUUGCUAGAUACGUGAUUCGCAGCUUCCAGUGUAGCAGGAGUUGUCACCUGAUGCGGUUCUGGCCAAGAAGAUGGGAGGAGAAGCCUGCUGGAAGCCCAGCGGAAAGCUGUGGCUUUGCGGAUGAAAAGCCGCUAGCCGGUGCCAUUCUCUCGCUAGUCUUCCUGCUGUGAACAUGGCCAAGGUGCCCAUGAUGGUAUCUUGUGAUCGUGAGGCAAAGGGCAGGAGUGGAGUGGAGAUGUGACCCAGAGACCUGACAUUAUAGCUAAACCUACCCCAGAAAUUGCUUUCAAUUUCUUGUUAUAUGAGAAAAACAAAUCCCUGUAUUUAAGCCACUGUUAUCUGGAUUUUCUAUUAUUUGCAGCUAAGAGAUUUCCUGAUAGCAAAAGGUAGAAUCACUCAACUGAGCAAAAAACAAAGAGAACCUGGAAGAUGAAUGAAGGGAACUACGGAUGUCCAUUAACUACAGCCUCAGGAUCAAUUGUAGAAUUAAGGGCAUACCCUACCUCUUUUUCAGGUGUGUUGGUGGCGGUUACAUUCACCAUUUGCCCUGAGUUUGCAAAAUAAUGAGGAAUAACCCCUAGAAAUGGUAGCAGAGGGAACACAAGAAGAGUGAGUAUCCUCAAGAGAUCGUGGGCUUGAUGCUGAAAAACAGCUUUGUCAGGUGCGGCGUGACAUGGCCGUGGCACACGAUACCUGCAGGACGUGCACAUUUGAUUGUCUCCUUGCUGGGAGCAGAAAUGUGAACUGAAUGUUCAAAAAGAACUCGCUACUUGGGAAGAGAGGAGACGUGAGGAGGUGGCUGAGUCACGUUAAUGCCUGGGUACUAGUCGGUGUGGACAACCUUCCUCCUGCCCCCGUGGGUCCAUGAUGACUCCUGUUCCCGGAUGUGCAUAUGCGGUUAACAUUAACGAUCAGUUGAAUUUAAGUUAAGGGAAUCUCCCCCUCAGUAAUGUGGUUGGACCUCAUUCAAUCAGCUCAUUCAAUCAGCUAAAAGAAAAAGCUGACGUUACCCAGAGAAGAAAUGCUGCCUUAAGACUGCAGCAUCAACUCCUGCCUUUAUUAGUUCUAUUUCUCUGGAGAAAUCUGGCUGAAGCACCAUGGAAGAGUCUGCCUCCUUCACCACUCCACGGCAUUACUACCAA